This 72-nucleotide transfer RNA is filed under the name Candidatus Giovannonibacteria bacterium RIFCSPLOWO2_02_FULL_43_37. Its description in RNAcentral is "tRNA-Thr". It matches the Rfam family "tRNA". Rfam says of the family: Transfer RNA (tRNA) molecules are approximately 80 nucleotides in length. Their secondary structure includes four short double-helical elements and three loops (D, anti-codon, and T loops). Further hydrogen bonds mediate the characteristic L-shaped molecular structure. tRNAs have two regions of fundamental functional importance: the anti-codon, which is responsible for specific mRNA codon recognition, and the 3' end, to which the tRNAs corresponding amino acid is attached (by aminoacyl-tRNA synthetases). tRNAs cope with the degeneracy of the genetic code in two manners: having more than one tRNA (with a specific anti-codon) for a particular amino acid; and 'wobble' base-pairing, i.e. permitting non-standard base-pairing at the 3rd anti-codon position. Lineage: Bacteria; Candidatus Giovannoniibacteriota. The record is from RNAcentral. RNAcentral also lists the same sequence under 1 other name.
GCCGAUGUAGCUCAGUGGUAGAGCAACUCCAUGGUAAGGAGUAGGUCGUGGGUUCAACUCCCACCAUCGGCU